CCUACGGGUGGCAGCAGUGGGGAAUAUUGCUCAAUGGGCGAAAGCCUGAUGCAGCAACGCCGCGUGAGCGAUGAAGGCCUUCGGGUUGUAAAGCUCUGUUCUUAAGGAAGAUAAUGACGGUAUCUGAGGAGUAAGCACCGGCUAACUACGUGCCAGCAGCCGCGGUAAUACGUAGGGGGCUAGCGUUAUUCGGAAUUACUGGGCGUAAAGGGGGCGUAGGUGGUUUAUUAAGUCAGAUGUGAAAUGCUACGGCUUAACCCUAGUAAGGCUUUUGAAACUGGGAACCUUGAGUGCAGGAGAGGAAGGUGGAAUUCGUGGUGUAGCGGUGAAAUGCGUAGAUAUUAGGAGGAACACCAAUUGCGAAGGCGGCUUACUGGACUGUAACUGACGCUGAUGCACGAAAGCGUGGGGAGCAAACAGGAUUAGAUACCCCAGUAGUC
Molecule: ribosomal RNA, 440 nt
Filed under: uncultured bacterium
Lineage: Bacteria
Description: partial 16S ribosomal RNA
Rfam family: Bacterial small subunit ribosomal RNA
Source: RNAcentral